Molecule: transfer RNA, 66 nt
Filed under: Psylla alni
Lineage: Eukaryota; Metazoa; Arthropoda; Insecta; Hemiptera; Psyllidae
Description: tRNA-Gln
Source: RNAcentral
ACAUUUAAGUGUAGGGCACAUAAAUUUUUGAAAUUUAAGGGUUAAACGACUGUUUAAAAAUGUAAA